This 492-nucleotide ribosomal RNA is filed under the name uncultured bacterium. RNAcentral's name for it is "partial 16S ribosomal RNA". It matches the Rfam family "Bacterial small subunit ribosomal RNA", at positions 29 to 507 of the family's 1533-position model. The record is from RNAcentral.
AGUGAACGCUGGCGGUAGGCCUAACACAUGCAAGUCGAACGGCAACACAGUAAGAGCUUGCUCUUACGGGUGGCGAGUGGCGGACGGGUGAGGAAUACAUCGGAAUCUACUUUUUCGUGGGGGAUAACGUAGGGAAACUUACGCUAAUACCGCAUACGACCUACGGGUGAAAGCAGGGGAUCUUCGGACCUUGCGCGAUUGAAUGAGCCGAUGUCGGAUUAGCUAGUUGGCGGGGUAAAGGCCCACCAAGGCGACGAUCCGUAGCUGGUCUGAGAGGAUGAUCAGCCACACUGGAACUGAGACACGGUCCAGACUCCUACGGGAGGCAGCUGUGGGGAAUAUUGGACAAUGGGCGCAAGCCUGAUCCAGCCAUACCGCGUGGGUGAAGAAGGCCUUCGGGUUGUAAAGCCCUUUUGUUGGGAAAGAAAAGCAGCAGGUUAAUACCCCGCUGUUCUGACGGUACCCAAAGAAUAAGCACCGGCUAACUUCGUG